UGUGGUCAGAGGAGCUUCAGUGUAGAGGCCACGAAUCUCAGAUUCAUUUCUGUCCAACACCAUCUUCACUUAAACACAACUGCUCCCAUGACAGUGAUGUGGGUCUAGUGUGUGCUGACAGUGUGAGAUUGGUGGAUGGUGGCAGUCGCUGUGAUGGGAGAGUGGAGGUUCUACAUAGAGGACAGUGGGGAACAUUGUGUGAUAAUAGCUGGGAUAUGAGUGAUGCUGCAGUGGUGUGUAGAGAGCUGGGAUGUGGGGAGGCUCUACAUGCACUGAGCAAUGCUUAUUUUGGACCAGGAUCAGGACCAAUCUGGAUGGAUGAUGUGUAUUGUAGUGGAUCAGAGUCUACACUGAAGAACUGUAUUUCUCCAGGAUGGGGUAAACAUGACUGUGAUCAUAAUAAAGAUGCUGGAGUCAUUUGUUCAGAAAGAAUCAGGCUGGUUGGUGGUUCUCACUGUUCU
Molecule: long non-coding RNA, 461 nt
Organism: Colossoma macropomum (tambaqui)
Lineage: Eukaryota; Metazoa; Chordata; Actinopteri; Characiformes; Serrasalmidae
Exons: 3
Source: RefSeq, a predicted model, not a curated record